RNAcentral lists this unclassified non-coding RNA (120 nucleotides) under uncultured fungus. RNAcentral describes it as "sequence contains ITS1". Lineage: Eukaryota; Fungi. The record is from RNAcentral.
ACAAAUCCUGCUGCAGUGCCGCAAGGUGCUGUAGUAUAUUAACUCGGCCUGUGUCGCAAGAUGCAGGCUGAUAAAUUAAUGUGUGUAAUGUUGACAAUGUGUGUGUGAUUAAAUAGUAGA